AUCGGAUUGAGAUUUAGCCAUGCGAGUCGAACGUCCCCCUGUUGCGGGGGGCGUGGCGUACGGCUCAGUAACACGUAGUCAACCUGCCCUGGAGACACGGACAACCCCGGGAAACUGGGACUAAUCCGUGAUAGGUCACCUCAUCUGGAAGGAGAGAUGGCCCAAAGGGGCGCGCGGGCUUCUUCUGCGCGUUCGCUCCAGGAUGGGACUGCGACCGAUCAGGCUGUUGGCGGGGUAAAGGCCCACCAAACCUGUAACCGGUACGGGCCUUGAGAGAGGUGGCCCGGAGAUGGACACUGAGAAAAGGGUCCAGGUCCUACGGGGCGCAGCAGGCGCGAAACCUUCGCAAUGCGCGAAAGCGUGACGAGGUUAAUCCGAGUGAUUUCCGCUGAGGAGACCUUUUGUCGGCUGUAAAUAGGCCGGCGAAUAAGGGGAGGGCAAGCCUGGUGU
This 450-nucleotide ribosomal RNA is filed under the name uncultured archaeon. Its description in RNAcentral is "bacterial SSU rRNA". It matches the Rfam family "Archaeal small subunit ribosomal RNA", at positions 32 to 458 of the family's 1478-position model. The record is from RNAcentral.